CAGGUAAGGCCCCUCGUAGACUACGAGGUUGAUAGGCUGCAGGUGUACGCACAGCAAUGUGUUCAGCCGAGCAGUACUAAUAGGCCGAGGUCUUGAUCUCAUUUG
RNAcentral lists this ribosomal RNA (105 nucleotides) under Actinobacteria bacterium HGW-Actinobacteria-10. Its description in RNAcentral is "partial 23S ribosomal RNA". It matches the Rfam family "Bacterial large subunit ribosomal RNA", at positions 2825 to 2925 of the family's 2925-position model. Lineage: Bacteria; Bacillati; Actinomycetota. The record is from RNAcentral.